CCUACGGGCUGCACCAGUGGGGAAUAUUGGACAAUGGGCGAAAGCCUGAUCCAGCAAUGCCGCGUGUGUGAAGAAGGUCUUCGGAUUGUAAAGCACUUUCGACGGGGACGAUGAUGACGGUACCCGUAGAAGAAGCCCCGGCUAACAUCGUGCCAGCAGCCGCGGUAAUACGAAGGGGGCUAGCGUUGCUCGGAAUGACUGGGCGUAAAGGGCGCGUAGGCGGUUUAUGCAGUCAGAUGUGAAAUCCCCGGGCUUAACCUGGGAACUGCAUUUGAGACGCAUAGACUAGAGGUCGAGAGAGGGUUGUGGAAUUCCCAGUGUAGAGGUGAAAUUCGUAGACAUUGGGAAGAACACCGGUGGCGAAGGCGGCAACCUGGCUUGAUACUGAUGCUGAGGCGCGAAAGCGUGGGGAGCAAACAGGAUUAGAUACCCUCGUAGUC
RNAcentral lists this ribosomal RNA (440 nucleotides) under uncultured bacterium. RNAcentral describes it as "bacterial SSU rRNA". It matches the Rfam family "Bacterial small subunit ribosomal RNA", at positions 338 to 795 of the family's 1533-position model. The record is from RNAcentral.